UACGGAGGAUGCGAGCGUUAUCCGGAUUUAUUGGGUUUAAAGGGUGCGUAGGCGGAUCGUUAAGUCAGUGGUCAAAUUGAGGGGCUCAACCCCUUCCCGCCAUUGAAACUGGCAGACUUGAGUUGGCGAGAAGUACGCGGAAUGCGCGGUGUAGCGGUGAAAUGCAUAGAUAUCGCGCAGAACUCCGAUUGCGAAGGCAGCGUACCGGCGCCAGACUGACGCUGAGGCACGAAAGCGUGGGGAUCGAACAGG
This 252-nucleotide ribosomal RNA is filed under the name uncultured Bacteroidales bacterium. Its description in RNAcentral is "partial 16S ribosomal RNA". It matches the Rfam family "Bacterial small subunit ribosomal RNA", at positions 524 to 776 of the family's 1533-position model. The record is from RNAcentral. Lineage: Bacteria; Pseudomonadati; Bacteroidota; Bacteroidia; Bacteroidales.